RNAcentral lists this long non-coding RNA (1038 nucleotides) under Gouania willdenowi (blunt-snouted clingfish). Its description in RNAcentral is "lncRNA (ENSGWIG00000016570.1)". Lineage: Eukaryota; Metazoa; Chordata; Actinopteri; Blenniiformes; Gobiesocidae. The record is from RNAcentral.
AUUGAUUUUUUGAACAAUUUCAAAGAAACGAUGAGAUCCAAAUUUAACAUGAAAGAUUUGGGCAAAAUAAAUUAUUUUUUAGGUAUACAUUUUAAGCAAGAAGAAGAUGAAAUUAAAAUGAGCCAAAAGAAAUACGUCCUGAAAGUGUUGGAAAAAUACAGAAUGUCAGAUUCCAAACCGAGAUCCACCCCAUGUGAGCAAAGUGCUAAUUUAAAUGAAAAUAAUGGGGAUGACAAAACAAACACUGUAAAUCCUACACACUAUCGUGAGAUAGUAGGUAGUCUGAUUUAUGCAAUGACCUGCACCAGACCAGACAUCAGUUGGGUAGUGAGUAAACUAUCCCAAACAUUAGCUAAACCUGCGACAGAAGACCUGGUGAAUGCUAAACAUGUUUUAAGAUACCUCAAAGGUACAUGUGACUAUGAGCUAACAUUCAAGAAAAACAACGAAGACUUGAACCUCAUUGCAUACAGUGACUCGGACUGGGCAUCCUCAGUUGAGGACAGACGCAGCACCACAGGCUAUUGUUUUAGCUUAACAUCACAAGGUCCAGCUAUUUCUUGGAAAUCCAGGAAACAGCCAACUGUAGCUCUUUCCACAUGUGAGGCUGAGUACAUUGCUUUGACAGCCACUACUCAAGAAAGCAUGUAUCUAACCCAACUGUUAAAUGGCAUUGACAACAAAAAGUACAGCUGUACAAAAAUCCAUGGUGAUAAUCAAGGGGCAAUCGCAUUGUGUAAAAAUCCUGUGAACAGACAGAGAUCUAAACAUAUUGAUGUAAAGUACCAUUUCAUACGUGAUGCGUUGAAAGAAGGGAAAAUCAAUGUGAUGUACUGUCCAUCUGAAAACAUGGUUGCCGACAUCCUUAACAAACCUGCACCCAAAGCUAAGUUUGUUAAAUUCAAAAAAUGGUUCUUUGGACACUAAAUACUGUGAAGCAAGGAUGAUGAGAACAAGGGGGAGUGUUGGAGUAUGUUCUCAAUCAGCCUUGUCUGUGUGAUGUUAUAUGUUUCUUUUAGCACUUUAUUUUGAUAGGCA